AUUGAACGCUGGCGGCAUGCUUUACACAUGCAAGUCGAACGGUAACAGGCCGCAAGGUGCUGACGAGUGGCGAACGGGUGAGUAAUGCAUCGGAACGUGCCCAGUCGGGGGGGAUAACGCAGCGAAAGCUGUGCUAAUACCGCAUACGAUCUAUGGAUGAAAGCGGGGGACCGUAAGGCCUCGCGCGAUUGGAGCGGCCGAUGUCAGAUUAGGUGGUUGGUGGGGUAAAGGCUCACCAAGCCAACGAUCUGUAGCUGGUCUGAGAGGACGACCAGCCACACUGGGACUGAGACACGGCCCAGACUCCUACGGGAGGCAGCAGUGGGGAAUUUUGGACAAUGGGCGCAAGCCUGAUCCAGCAAUGCCGCGUGCAGGAAGAAGGCCUUCGGGUUGUAAACUGCUUUUGUACGGAACGAAAAGGUUUGGGUUAAUACCCUGGGCCGAUGACGGUACCGUAAGAAUAAGCACCGGCUAACUACGUGCCAGCCGCCGCAGUAA
Molecule: ribosomal RNA, 498 nt
Filed under: uncultured bacterium
Lineage: Bacteria
Description: partial 16S ribosomal RNA
Rfam family: Bacterial small subunit ribosomal RNA
Source: RNAcentral